RNAcentral lists this ribosomal RNA (305 nucleotides) under uncultured bacterium. RNAcentral's name for it is "bacterial SSU rRNA". It matches the Rfam family "Bacterial small subunit ribosomal RNA", at positions 333 to 656 of the family's 1533-position model. The record is from RNAcentral.
UCCCGCCUACGGGCGCAGCAGUGGGGGAUAUUGGACAAUGGGGGAAACCCUGAUCCAGCGAUGCCGCGUGAGGGAAGAAGGUUUUCGGAUUGUAAACCUCUGUGGAGGGGGACGAUAAUGACGGUACCUGACUAAGAAGCCCCGGCUAACUACGUGCCAGCAGCCGCGGUAAUACGUAGGGGGCAAGCGUUAUCCGGAUUUACUGGGUGUAAAGGGAGCGUAGACGGCAGCGCAAGUCUGGAGUGAAAUGCCGGGGCCCAACCCCGGAACUGCUCUGGAAACUGGGAAGCUGGAGUGCAGGAGAG